This 1711-nucleotide long non-coding RNA is filed under the name Androctonus crassicauda. Lineage: Eukaryota; Metazoa; Arthropoda; Arachnida; Scorpiones; Buthidae. The record is from RNAcentral.
AUUGAAUCUGUGCCGAGUGUAGGUGCUAUAUCGGAAAAUAUAUAUAUAUAUAUAUAUAAGAUAAAAUAAAUUUAUCGAUGGAGUUCGGAAAAUAUUUUGAAAAAUUGUUAUUGAUCUUGUUAUAGACGAACAGAAUUCGGAGAGAUUUGAUGGCGAAGAAUGGGUAUACUCCCGUUUUUUUGGGAAAAAAAAUCUACCGGAAGAUUACUGGAUGCAUUUUUUUGGAUUUUUAUAAAAGUAGAGCAUGUUUUUGGAUCUUUUCGGUAUGCCGAAGAACGGAAGAAUUGCUUUUUUAAUUUUUUUUUGUAUUUUUUCCCCUUAAUGUUCGGUUGCAUCGAAAGAAUUACGGUAUAAGUAACUGCACCGGUUACGUUAUUGAAUAAAAUGCCAUUAUAACACGAUUUAACUGAUAUUUCCUCGCUUAAUGCGUGAGUGGCAACUGUAAACAGUAUUAAAUUAUACUAUACGUUAGGAUUAUCAUCCUUUACCAACGUUAUCAUCAUCAAAAACACGAAAAAGAUGCCGGCUUUUAAAAAUUUCUUUAUUUUCUUUCCAGCCAGGAUGGCCGUCUGUGAAGCAACUAAAUAUGCAUAAUGAUAUGUAAAACGAACGUGUAUCGAACUACAAAUAUGUCUUUAUUUAUAGCGUAUGUUAAGAAUAACAUGGCUAUUCCGUACAGUGACAUUCGCUCUCUUUUUUUUUUUUUUACUACGCGGCAUGGUAGAAACUUUGAAAAAUAUAUCUAUGAAUCAGUUUAUAAUAUUGAUAGAAAUGCAAAUCGUGGUAGAAAAUAAUAGUAAAUAUAUAUUUGAAUAUAUUUUUUUUUCUUCCUUUUUUCCAUUUUGUUAUUCUGGUAUACUGUACGGUUUAUUUUCGAUAAAUCGAACUGAAAUUCGAGAUUCUCUGUACGUGUAACUAGAAACCGUGUCAAAUUUUAUUACGUUAUCAGAUCGUAUAGAGUAAAAAACAUGUAAAAAUAGAUAAUAAUUUUCAUGUUUCCUAAAGAAGUGUUAUUUUUGAUAUUUUUUUAAAAUAAAUUGACAAUUUAAAUUUGACAUUUUGAAACCAUUCUGCUGUAAUGUAAACAAGCAGUUGCGGAAGGAAUCAAUUGCCUAUAUUCGUAGCGUAUCUUCUAUUUUGGAACGGUUUAAAUAUGCCAUGAGAAUCAUUUUCAAUGUUAUAAUUUCUGUUAUAAUGUUGAAUGCCAUAAAGACCUAUCAAAUAAUUCCGUAGUUAUGAAGAGAAAAACCUCUGAAACAUCUGUACCUCUCCAUUUUUAAACGGAUGGAUAUAUAAAGUUAAUUAAUAUUAUUCUGGAUUCGACUUUAAUAUUGUGAUCAUUCUGCUAAAUUUGAUAAAAAUUGAUCAAUUAGUUCAAAAGUUAUUAGAGAAAAGGUUCAGAAUUUGAACGGCCCUCCAUUUUUAAAUGAUAUAAAAUAAGGUGUUAAUUUAUGUGCUUUCGAAAUAGCCAUCAAAGACUCCAUCAUCUUGCCGAAUUUUAUAAAAAUGUAGCAAAUAGUUCGGGAUAUAAUCAAGGGAUGAUCUUAGAUAUUUAAACGCCUGCCAUUUUUAAAUGGGUGAAGUUGUAAGAUUAAUUAGUAUUAUUUCAGAUUCGACUUUAAUAUUCUGACCAUUCUGCUAAAUUUGAUAAAAAUUGAUCAAUUAGUUCAAAAGUUAUUAGAGAAAAGGUUCAGAAUUUGAACGGCCCUCC